AGCUAUUUGACUGAAAGGUAAGUAAAUGUUUUGAAAACAUCUCACAAGGGUUCGAAUCCUUUAAUAGUUU
RNAcentral lists this transfer RNA (70 nucleotides) under Calantica studeri. RNAcentral's name for it is "tRNA-Ser". It matches the Rfam family "tRNA". From Rfam's summary of the family: Transfer RNA (tRNA) molecules are approximately 80 nucleotides in length. Their secondary structure includes four short double-helical elements and three loops (D, anti-codon, and T loops). Lineage: Eukaryota; Metazoa; Arthropoda; Thecostraca; Calanticomorpha; Calanticidae. The record is from RNAcentral.